UACGGGGGGAGCAAGCGUUGUUCGGAUUUACUGGGCGUAAAGCGCGUGUAGGCGGCUUGGCAAGUCAGUUGUGAAAGCCCGGGGCCCAACCCCGGAACUGCAUCUGAAACUGCCUGGCUAGAGUCCCGGAGAGGAAGGCAGAAUUCCCGGUGUAGGGGUGAAAUCCGUAGAUAUCGGGAGGAAUACCAGCGGCGAAGGCGGCCUUCUGGACGGUGACUGACGCUGAGACGCGAAAGCGUGGGGAGCAAACAGG
This 253-nucleotide ribosomal RNA is filed under the name uncultured bacterium. Its description in RNAcentral is "partial 16S ribosomal RNA". It matches the Rfam family "Bacterial small subunit ribosomal RNA", at positions 524 to 776 of the family's 1533-position model. The record is from RNAcentral.